RNAcentral lists this long non-coding RNA (2093 nucleotides) under Aotus nancymaae (Ma's night monkey). RNAcentral's name for it is "lncRNA (ENSANAG00000039404.1)". Lineage: Eukaryota; Metazoa; Chordata; Mammalia; Primates; Aotidae. The record is from RNAcentral.
GAGAUGAUUGCUUAAUUAAUCUGUGUAUUGUGCUAAUGAGGAUGUUAAAUGGGUUCAUCCCUGAAUUUGAUUGUUCACAAAGAAUGUGAAUUUCCUAAAGGGCAAAUAUAGACAGAUUUUCUAUUAACAUGAACCAUCCAACCAAGAAGCUCUUUUAGUCAUUUUGAAGUUUAAAAGGGUAGCAGAUAAUUUCAAAAUAGCUUCAUGACAUUUCUAGUGGCUACAUGUGAGAUAUUAUUACCAUAUCUCCUGAAGCUGUUUGCCAGUUCCUUUGGGAAAGAAUUUUAUAUUACAAUUCUUAAAUAGAUACUGACUUUUAUUUUCUAUCAAGACUCCUCAGGGUGCAGCAUAAAUUAAACUUGUGGCACUUAUCUUUCACAAGCAGACUUUGGAGGGGUUGGGAAAUAGCAGAUGCCAAUAGUGUCAUCGUUCAGUCAAGAAUCCAUUAUGUUAAAAAACAUUCCAUACAGGUCAGCCAUGGUUGUGCAUGCCUGUAGUCCCAGCUAUUUGGAAGACCAAGGUGGGAGGAUCACUUCAGCCCAGGAAUUUGAGGCUGCAAAGAGCUAUGAUGGUGCCACUGCAUGCCAGCCUAAGUGACACAGCAAGACCUUGUCUCUAAAAUAAAUAAAUAAAUUCAUCCCAAAUGCAAUAUCAUUAAGCCAGAAGAAGAUAAUAGGGAUGGAUGGGGGAGUUGCAUGUGUGUGUUUAAAGAUCCCAGCAUACACAGAGGAAAGAAACUGGGCCCCUACCUGUUUGCCUAUCAGCCUCCUGGCGGGUAAGGAAUGUGAGGAGACAGUAUCUGGCAGUGGCGAAAGACAGAUCAUUUCCUACAAAUCCUGGAGGUGUUCGUUCACGUCCCUGUCUGGACCCAAGAUGGCGACACCUUUGCUUCAGAGUUUCUUUAGCUUGGUGUUUCUCUAAGGGGGACAGUUACCACUCCUAAAAGACCUUCUGGAAAAUCUGAAGGACUCUUUGUCACAUCAAUUGGAGGAGGUGCUACCACAUACAGUGUGUCGGUCAUGAAGAACGUGGAAGUCCCACAUUGGCCAAAGGAAAGCAGUCCAGCACAACAAAAGAAUUAUCCCAUAACCAGCAUCAUUUUGAAUGUCCCAACAGACACUAGACAGGUGAAAAAUUAGUUAUAAUAAUCUGAGUCUCACAGUCCCUGUCUGGGCCCAAGGUGUCUGUAAAACAGAGGUGCAAACUCCACUUGACAUAUAAACACAAAGCUUUUUGGGUUUUGGUUUUUUUGCACAAUCUAAAAUUUCCAGGGAUGCAAACUAUAUAAAUCAAAGGAAGAUUUAUAGUUUGUUUUAUCUGGAUCAUUACCAAGGUUGUUAAUCAUUAUGAAAUUCACAGCAACGUUGGCAAUGCUGCUCAUGGUAUUUGAGUUGCCAACAUAACACGUGACCAUCACAUUCACUAUAAUUCCGCUGAGAGGUGCUAACUUCUGCCUUCUUCACUACACUAGUGUGGUUGUGCUUGAGAGACUGCAUAUGGAGAUGCAGAUUAUUUUAUUGAAACUCCUUUUGUUUCCCCUUUAUAUUACAACUGGGACUUUAUACUGGUUUUUAAAAAUUAUGUAUAUAGGUAAAUUAUACUACUGAAAAGGAGUCUUAACAAAAUAUUUUUACAUAGCAGCACCAACUGCAAAUAUAUAUAUAUACACAUACACACACACACACAUAUAUAUAACAGAAAAGGGCAUAGUGCAUCUAACAGAAUUACAAACCAUCACUUGAGCACAUUCAUACACCGUUUGACUCCAGAGAGUCUAUUCUUUGCCUCUUAAACAUCUUCUCAUUCUGUAGGUUUCAGCUGCCGCUGCUCUUCCUCUAAAGAGCUCUGUGCUUCCUGUGCUCUGUACUGACACAUCACUCCAUCCCUUAUCAUAUGGGCUGUAAUUUCCCGUGCAACUGUCGUCUUCUUCCCUGGAAGGAAAGACCCCUUCCUGUGAGUUCUGAGAGAGCAGGAGCUACGUACAACUGCUUAUUACUCCACACCCAGUGCCCUGCACGUGGCGGAGCAUGCUAGUCCAUGCUCAACACCUGGUGAGUAAAUGAAUUGCAGAGAGCUGUAAGGGCAGGUGGGAC